RNAcentral lists this long non-coding RNA (748 nucleotides) under Solanum tuberosum (potato). RNAcentral describes it as "long non-coding RNA (STUB_LNC002069)". The record is from RNAcentral. Lineage: Eukaryota; Viridiplantae; Streptophyta; Magnoliopsida; Solanales; Solanaceae.
CCAUCCUUCCCAACCCAAGUAGAUAUAUUCAGUUGUCUGUCAACCAUGGAAUUGUCUUGUGAGUAUAUAGCAUUAUGAUGUAAUAAGAUAUUUUGGUAAAUACUAGUGGUGGACAUAAAUAUCGAAAAUCAAACCAAACCAAAAUAAAUCAAUUUUUCGGUUUGAUUUUUGUUCUAUUUUUUCUGAAACUUUGACAUUCGGAUCGCUGUGUAAUUAUAGGGCCCCAAUUCUUCAGUUACUUCAAAGAAGUGUUUAAGCAAACUCCAUUCACAAUUUCAUAUUCCUUUUUGAGAGAGCUGAAUCCAUUUUUUCUCCAGUUGAUAAUAUUCAACUAUUGAUGUGGAUGAGAGAGCUGGAUCAUGGGUGAAGCACGAGUUUAGAUUGGGAGUCGUAAAGAGGACGUCCUUCAAGCCCUUUAUUUAUAACAAUUUUUUCAUCUCUUCUUUCAAACCUAUUCAACCGGUUGGAGGGUAAGUCAAUCCCAUAGUUCGACAACAAAGAACAGACCAUCUCUGAGGGAAAAAAAACCACUAGACAUGAUAUUUCAACUAGCAACAACAAUGUAAUGUGAUCUACAUUACUUCGAAUCACAAAUUAUCUUUACAUUCCAUACUAAAUGCCAUCAAAUCACUUAUGGCAUGGGAACCGCUUGAUUAGUAGCCGCCUAGGGACCACGCUAUGACAUUUUAUAUUAUCACAUUUGUACUACCAAAUCUCUGACAUGAAAUAAAUGGUGCUUAUCUUCAAA